This 429-nucleotide ribosomal RNA is filed under the name Verrucomicrobiota bacterium. RNAcentral describes it as "Verrucomicrobia bacterium partial 16S ribosomal RNA". It matches the Rfam family "Bacterial small subunit ribosomal RNA", at positions 355 to 776 of the family's 1533-position model. Lineage: Bacteria; Pseudomonadati; Verrucomicrobiota. The record is from RNAcentral.
UAGGGAAUCUUCCGCAAUGGACGAAAGUCUGACGGAGCAACGCCGCGUGAGUGAAGAAGGAUUUCGGUUCGUAAAACUCUGUUGUUAGGGAAGAAAAAAUGUAUAGUAACUAUAUACAAAAGAGACGGUACCUAACCAGAAAGCCACGGCUAACUACGUGCCAGCAGCCGCGGUAAUACGUAGGUGGCAAGCGUUGUCCGGAAUUAUUGGGCGUAAAGCGCGCGCAGGUGGUUUAGAAAGUCUGAUGUGAAAGCCCACGGCUCAACCGUGGAGGGUCAUUGGAAACUAAUAAACGUGAGUGCAGGAGAGAAAAGUGGAAUUCCUAGUGUAGCGGUGAAAUGCGUAGAGAUUAGGAGGAACACCGGUGGCGAAAGCGGCUUUGUGGCCUGCAACUGACACUGAGGCGCGAAAGCGUGGGGAGCAAACAGG